This is a long non-coding RNA of Gymnodraco acuticeps, 290 nucleotides long. RefSeq lists it as uncharacterized. The transcript has 3 exons. The record is from RefSeq and is a predicted model, not a curated record. NCBI's taxonomy places the organism in Eukaryota, Metazoa, Chordata, Actinopteri, Perciformes, Bathydraconidae.
AAAAGGACCACUGUCUUUGCAGCAGUCAUGAAUCUGAAAUAAUAGAUUAUUUUUGUAUUUGCUGCACACCGCUUACAGACUGUUUGGUUUCAGUUUUACAACAAAAAUGGGUUUUGGAUUGUGUGUGAGAGUUCUUGUGAUCUCACUCUUGAUUUUUGGGCAGCAAGCAAAGGCACUCAGCUACAGAAGUGGAGGCUCCAGUGGCAUUACACCUCACUUUGAUUUUUCAAGAAGCCUUAAACCCGCUUCCACUUCCAGUGAUGAUAGUUCAGCACAGCCUGAGAGGGUUU